ACGCUGGCGGCGUGCCUAAUACAUGCAAGUAGAACGCUGAAGAGAGGAGCUUGCUCUUCUUGGAUGAGUUGCGAACGGGUGAGUAACGCGUAGGUAAUCUGCCUUGUAGCGGGGGAUAACUAUUGGAAACGAUAGCUAAUACCGCAUAACAAUGGGUGACACAUGUCAUUUAUUUGAAAGGGGCAAUUGCUCCACUACAAGAUGGACCUACGUUGUAUUAGCUAGUAGGUGAGGUAACGGCUCACCUAGGCGACGAUACAUAGCCGACCUGAGAGGGUGAUCGGCCACACUGGGACUGAGACACGGCCCAGACUCCUACGGGAGGCAGCAGUAGGGAAUCUUCGGCAAUGGGGGCAACCCUGACCGAGCAACGCCGCGUGAGUGAAGAAGGUUUUCGGAUCGUAAAGCUCUGUUGUAAGUCAAGAACGAGUGUGAGAGUGGAAAGUUCACACUGUGACGGUAGCUUACCAGAAAGGGACGGCUAACUACGUGCCAGCAGCCGCGGUAAUACGUAGGUCCCGAGCGUUGUCCGGAUUUAUUGGGCGUAAAGCGAGCGCAGGCGGUUUGAUAAGUCUGAAGUUAAAGGCUGUGGCUCAACCAUAGUUCGCUUUGGAAACUGUCAAACUUGAGUGCAGAAGGGGAGAGUGGAAUUCCAUGUGUAGCGGUGAAAUGCGUAGAUAUAUGGAGGAACACCGGUGGCGAAAGCGGCUCUCUGGUCUGUAACUGACGCUGAGGCUCGAAAGCGUGGGGAGCGAACAGGAUUAGAUACCCUGGUAGUCCACGCCGUAAACGAUGAGUGCUAGGUGUUGGAUCCUUUCCGGGAUUCAGUGCCGCAGCUAACGCAUUAAGCACUCCGCCUGGGGAGUACGACCGCAAGGUUGAAACUCAAAGGAAUUGACGGGGGCCCGCA
This 910-nucleotide ribosomal RNA is filed under the name uncultured bacterium. Its description in RNAcentral is "bacterial SSU rRNA". It matches the Rfam family "Bacterial small subunit ribosomal RNA", at positions 33 to 925 of the family's 1533-position model. The record is from RNAcentral.